AUACGUAGGUGACAAGCGUUAUCCGGAUUUACUGGGCGUAAAGGGCGUGUAGGCGGUCUUGCAAGUCAGAAGUGAAAUUCCUGAGCUCAACUCGGGCGCUGCUUCUGAAACUGCAGGACUUGAGUGCUGGAGGGGAUAGCGGAAUUCAUCGUGGAGCGGUAAAAUGCGCAGAUAUUAGGAAGAACACCGGUGGCGAAGGCGGCUAUCUGGACAGUAACGGACGCUGAGGCGCGAAAGCGUGGGGAGCAAACAGGAUUAGAUACACUGGUAGUCCACGCCGUAAACGAUGAAUACUAGGUGUAGGGGGUAUCGACUCCCUCUGUGCCGCAGUUAACACAAUAAGUAUUCCGCCUGGGGAGUACGGCCGCAAGGUUGAAACUCAAAUGAAUUGACGGGG
RNAcentral lists this ribosomal RNA (397 nucleotides) under uncultured bacterium. RNAcentral's name for it is "partial 16S ribosomal RNA". It matches the Rfam family "Bacterial small subunit ribosomal RNA", at positions 523 to 918 of the family's 1533-position model. The record is from RNAcentral.